This 816-nucleotide ribosomal RNA is filed under the name Salmonella enterica. RNAcentral's name for it is "partial 23S ribosomal RNA". It matches the Rfam family "Bacterial large subunit ribosomal RNA", at positions 1987 to 2802 of the family's 2925-position model. The record is from RNAcentral. RNAcentral also lists the same sequence under 1 other name. Lineage: Bacteria; Pseudomonadati; Pseudomonadota; Gammaproteobacteria; Enterobacterales; Enterobacteriaceae.
CCUGCACGAAUGGCGUAAUGAUGGCCAGGCUGUCUCCACCCGAGACUCAGUGAAAUUGAACUCGCUGUGAAGAUGCAGUGUACCCGCGGCAAGACGGAAAGACCCCGUGAACCUUUACUAUAGCUUGACACUGAACAUUGAGCCUUGAUGUGUAGGAUAGGUGGGAGGCUUUGAAGUGUGGACGCCAGUCUGCAUGGAGCCGACCUUGAAAUACCACCCUUUAAUGUUUGAUGUUCUAACGUGGACCCGUGAUCCGGGUUGCGGACAGUGUCUGGUGGGUAGUUUGACUGGGGCGGUCUCCUCCUAAAGAGUAACGGAGGAGCACGAAGGUUGGCUAAUCCUGGUCGGACAUCAGGAGGUUAGUGCAAUGGCAUAAGCCAGCUUGACUGCGAGCGUGACGGCGCGAGCAGGUGCGAAAGCAGGUCAUAGUGAUCCGGUGGUUCUGAAUGGAAGGGCCAUCGCUCAACGGAUAAAAGGUACUCCGGGGAUAACAGGCUGAUACCGCCCAAGAGUUCAUAUCGACGGCGGUGUUUGGCACCUCGAUGUCGGCUCAUCACAUCCUGGGGCUGAAGUAGGUCCCAAGGGUAUGGCUGUUCGCCAUUUAAAGUGGUACGCGAGCUGGGUUUAGAACGUCGUGAGACAGUUCGGUCCCUAUCUGCCGUGGGCGCUGGAGAACUGAGGGGGGCUGCUCCUAGUACGAGAGGACCGGAGUGGACGCAUCACUGGUGUUCGGGUUGUCAUGCCAAUGGCACUGCCCGGUAGCUAAAUGCGGAAGAGAUAAGUGCUGAAAGCAUCUAAGCACGAAACUUGCCCCGA